This is a non-coding RNA of Puma concolor (puma), 642 nucleotides long. The record is from RefSeq and is a predicted model, not a curated record. Lineage: Eukaryota; Metazoa; Chordata; Mammalia; Carnivora; Felidae.
UUUCCAGUGUUUCCUUCUGGCGAUGUAAAUAUGAACCAGCUGGACAUGUUAGCAGAGCCUGUCUGUUUUUCUGCGUGGAGCCACAAAGAUUCUGCUUAGCCGAGCACAUGUCAAGGAAGGACCAUCGAGGGACACAGACAACAGAGGACAGCUCUUGUCAGGACUAAAUGAGAGAAGACACGCAGAGCACUUGGCACGACACGUUGAACAAACCAAGAAUCCGUAAGGGGUAGCCAUUCGGGAAUCGAAGCCUUGUCUUCUUUCUGGUUGCUGUUCUUGAAGGAUCAGAUGGUGGUGGUGAGCACGACAGUGGGCUUCGACAGUCAGGUAGACUCGGCCACUGACUCUCUAGAUCAACUGAGUUGCAAUCUGCAUCGUAACACAAUAAAGUUGGAGAAGCACGCCUCUAGUAAGGUGCCCUUCAACUUGGCUAUGCCAAGCGUGGUCUAGGAACCAGCAGCAUGGGCGUCAGCUAGAAGCCAGUUAAAAAAGGCAGCUUCUGGGGCCCUAGGCUGGACCCAUUUAUUUGAGUCUCCGGGGCUGAGCCUGGCAAUCUGCAUGUUUCUGGCUGUGCAUUGACUGUAUUCGUCACAGUGCCUUCCACGCGGUAAGCAUCAAUACACGACCCCAUAACAUCUGCUU